This 207-nucleotide ribosomal RNA is filed under the name uncultured bacterium. RNAcentral's name for it is "partial 16S ribosomal RNA". It matches the Rfam family "Bacterial small subunit ribosomal RNA", at positions 568 to 774 of the family's 1533-position model. The record is from RNAcentral.
CGUGUAGGCGGGCGACUAAGUCGGAUGUGAAAUCCCUGGGCUCAACCUAGGAACUGCAUUCGAAACUGGUCACCUAGAGUGAUGGAGAGGAAAGUGGAAUUCCCGGUGUAGAGGUGAAAUUCGUAGAUAUCGGGAGGAACACCAGUGGCGAAGGCGGCUUUCUGGACAUUUACUGACGCUGAGACGCGAAAGCGUGGGGAGCAAACA